This is a long non-coding RNA of Lytechinus pictus (painted urchin), 404 nucleotides long. RefSeq lists it as uncharacterized. The record is from RefSeq and is a predicted model, not a curated record. NCBI's taxonomy places the organism in Eukaryota, Metazoa, Echinodermata, Echinoidea, Temnopleuroida, Toxopneustidae. The transcript is spliced from 3 exons.
CAAGCCUAAUCAGGAAUGGAAUCAAUGAGGAAUAAGUACAUCCAUGGUGAGAUGCAUGUAUAAACCUCUCUUUUGACACGUACAUGUACAUCACGAGCAACUGGGGGAAAUUGUCUUCCAUCUGGCAAAGGACCAAUUUCAAAACGAUUGAGGCAUGCACCGGUGACCUUUAACCCUCAUUGCUCGAUUUAGCUGAAGGCCAUUUUCUUUAGUUUGACGGGCCAAGAGUGUAGGAUUGAUUGGGAAAUGAUCUUGAAAUACAGUGGUGCUGAAAAGUUUGUGAACCCUACCAGAAAAUGCACUCCUUCAUGCUGAGUGUUGAAUGGAGACAACAACACUACAAUGUUUGGUGAGCCCAGAGAAACAAACUUUAUUGAAUGUAAUAUCUUAUCACCUGACUUCAC